UUUUGUGAAGGGUAUGGAGUAUUUUGAGUUAAGCUAUUACAUAGACUUACAUUUUAAUUCAAUUGUUUCGAGUUCUAAGUAUUCUGACAUUAGAAAUUUCCAUGGACAGAAUCUCUCUUUCGUUUACCAUUAUGUAUGAAAAUGAUAUUCAGCAACAUGAAAAAUUGGUAUGCAUUCUUGUUUCUGUUUUUGUGUACUAUUUAAUUCAUUUUUGUUGAUUAUUAGUUUUUGGAAUUUUUAUUUUGGAUUUUGAUUUUGUACCUGUACUGUGGUGUGUGUUUCUUGUGUGCCUCUAAAUAGCGUAUUCCAGAUGGCUUCAAAGAAUUAAUGAAUGAUGGUUUCUUUAACAUAGAGUUGUCAGUGAAUGGUAAUGACAAGUCAUGGUUCGUUACUUUAGUGCAUGAAGAGUGUGGUAGUGGAUGGGGAACAUAUCUUGAUACUAGGUGGUCUGAUUUUGUAGAGGAUAAUGGUGUGAAUGCUGGUGAUGCUUUGAUAUUUACUUAUUUAGGGAAUAGCUCAUUUGAUGUUGAAAUCCGCAGAUCCAGGGGAAGUAAGAGAGCUGAGGAAAAUGGAUAUGGUUGAAGUUCAGGUACUUCAGGUAAAAGGCGUGGGAGGAAACCUGCUAUUAAAAAGCUCUCAUCUAAAAUGAUCAAAACCAAUGCUUGCCUUGCCAAGCUUGCAGCUGCCUAUCGUGAACAUCAUUUCUUAAUUCACUUUUACCAAAGCCUGUGUUGAUCAAUGAAUUAUAGUAUGAUUUUUGUUAGAUAUCUUCAUGUUUGUUUUGUUUUUUUUUUCAUUCACUAGUAGAAAAAUUGAAAAAGGCACCGCUCAAUGGCCACCGGUUUUUGAAAACCGAUGGCUUAAAAAAUGGGCGGGAUUAGGCAUAUGUACAUUGCCACCGGUUCAAACCGAACCGGUGGCAUAAAUGAUAAAGGCCACCGGUUUUGAACCGGUGGUAAUAAUCAAAUAAUAAAAAAAAAAGCCCACCAUUCUCUUUCCCCUUCCUUUAUAUACCUAACCCUAAUCUUCUCUCUCCUCUAUCACCUCUCCUCCUGCUCUCUAUCUCCUUCGUUCUUACUCCCCCUCUCUGUUCUCUCUCUCUCUACCCUGAAUCUCUCUCGUCGACCUCCUCCUCUCUCCUGAUCUCUCUUCUCUUUCUCUCUCCUUAACCCUAAUCUUCUCCCUCUCUCGCGGUAUCUUCCUCUCUCCUUCAUUCGGCUCGUCCACCGCCGCAACAACAACCACCGCCGCAUCAACAACCACCGCCAUUAACCAUCAAGCUUAUUGUCGCACUUACUCUCUCCUCGUGAUGAAAAUAUGGGUUUUCUGGUCUAAUUCAACCAUGAAAACUCUAGAUCUAGAGUUUUCAUGGUCGAAUUAGACCUUUAUAACACAAAUUCAAGAUAAUUUCGGGGGUUUUUGCUGAAAUUCGAGGUGUUAAUUGAUGUUGGAUUCAAGACUUUCAUUUUGGAAUAUUGUUAUUUUUUAAUGUUGUAAUUUUUUUUUUUGUAAUGUAUAAUUCAUUGUAAUUUUUUUUUGUACUUAAUACUUCAUUGUAAUUUUUUUUUAUUGUACAAUAACAAUCUAUUAUUUGAAUAUAAUUGUGAGUAUAUUUCAUUGCGCUCUUAUAUUGAUUGUGAUGUUA
Chenopodium quinoa (quinoa) is the source of this 1645-nucleotide long non-coding RNA. RefSeq lists it as uncharacterized. The record is from RefSeq and is a predicted model, not a curated record. The transcript is spliced from 2 exons. Lineage: Eukaryota; Viridiplantae; Streptophyta; Magnoliopsida; Caryophyllales; Amaranthaceae.